Molecule: long non-coding RNA, 1927 nt
Organism: Ficedula albicollis (Collared flycatcher)
Lineage: Eukaryota; Metazoa; Chordata; Aves; Passeriformes; Muscicapidae
Source: Ensembl
CACAGGGGGGCUGGUCUGCUGCCCAUGCUGCUUGCUCUUGCUGCAAAAUGAACCAUUGUGCAAAGAUGGCUUUGCCUUUGAUGGGGGAAGGGAAAAUCCAGGACUGGACAAAACUGAAAGCAAGGUGAUCUCAGCUUUACAGCUCAUAACUGGAGUGGCUGGGUUUCCUCCACAAAAAAUGCAAAAGUUUAAUGACAUUGAAACAGCUGAAAGUUACAGAAGGGCUGGCACUGCAGAAAUCUGAGAUAAGAGCCCUACCCCUUCCUUGGUGCGGUGAGCACGAUACGAAGGAUGAAGAGGAACUCAAGGCACAACCACGAGGACUUAGUGGGGUCUUGCCAGCAGUUAUCAAAAACAAAUAUGUCUCAUCUGUUUCCUGUCUUGAAAAGGAGGAGCAUGAGAGCCAUGGAGUGAAAUGCUCAGUGAUGUUGGGGGCAAUCACAGCCUCAGCCACUGCAAUACCUGCCCACACCCACAGCUCGGGCAAUAAACUGCUGACUACAACGAAUAUUAUAAAAAUUCCUCCCUGGAUGCCAGAGACACCUUGAUGGUUUUGCAUACGUUGAAAACUCCCUGGCUAAUGACAUAUUUCCUCUUUGGGCUGACUCAUGAGCUGCUUCUCCUUGUUGCUAUGAAAGUUGGAAGCACUUCAACGAUGCGUGCUGCAAGUACAUUUCACGAGAAGAGAGGAAAAUCUCAGUAUUAUUUCUGGAUUCACAGAUUUGACCCUUUCACUUUUGCAGUUGGCGAGCUCUGCCACUUUGACAUUUAUUAAAUAGCUUGUUAGUGGCAAAAGGAAUAACAAUAAAAUGUGUGUGUAUAAUUUAAAGCAAACAAUCUUCACUCUUAAUCCGGCCUUCAAGGCCUGAAGUAAACAAGCACAUUUCAAGGGAAUGCUGCUGCGAAAAGGAAAGGUCUGAUGGGUGCUACUUGCUUUUAAACAUUGAGACAAAGUGUUUAACAGCCUAAAAGCUCUAAGCCCCGCUUGUUAUGGGGAGAUAACAGCUCCAUUAAUUAGAUGAUCAAAUAUUAUUUUAUUGGUAAAUUCUUGCGUUGGCCUGGAAUGGCUUAUGCUUGCUUAUGAGACAUGUAACUCAAUUCUUUUGAGCACUUGCAAUAUUCCAGUUGAUUAUUUAAUGUAAUUGCCAUAAUUCUCUAAUUUAAGUAAUAUUUGCAUCAAUAUUGCGUGUUGAUUAUGACCUGGUUCAGGGUAUUUAUCUGUGCUGAUUUUCAGCAGCUCUCAGGGAAAAAAUAAAUGGUCUUUUCAUGACAUACAAGUUUGACACAAUGUCAAACCUUGCUUUCUAUCCCUCACCAGGAGAGGUGAGAUUCGUGGGUCUGUGUACUUGAGCUCAUUUUGAGUUAGCACCGUGCCAGCACAUGAGCAGAGAGAAAUGUGAGAGAAAAGAGGCUGGAUAAAGCCUUAAGGGCUGCUGACACAGAGAGCAGGAGCCCACCUGGCUGCACUGCCUCUCAGUCCUGAGCAGGGGCAGUUUAUGAGGAGAUGGACACCACCUUCCUCUGAGUCUCUUCGCCCUGGUGCACUGGAGGUUAAACCACUUAUAAGCUGCUAAUGGCCAGAGGUUACAGCCUCGGGGCUUAAGGAAAACUAAAAUCAGUGCUAAUUCACCUCGAAAAGUGGGCUGUAGGCAGAGUGCUCAGGGGUGCAGCAAGGGCAGAGUGGGGAGCCGGGGGCACAGGGGCACACACACAGGGGCAGAGCUCUGCCAGCAGAAGUCACUCGGCCCUGGAGCCAGCGCCAGGCUGUCUUGCAGGGACGUGGGCUGCACAGGCUGGAAUCGCUGGUGGAUUUAAAUCAGUCCUAGCAUUUCACAACCUCUCCCUGCAGCUCCCUAUGCAGAGCCCCUAUACAUUUGUAUACCAUACAGCUCCUUCACAGCCUGCAGUGCUUUUAACACAUAAUAUA